CUAUUUUUUUUUUUUUUUUUCAAAAAGUGUGUCUGUAUGUCAAACAUGCGGACACAAUAUUUAUUGCAGCUGUCAGAUGGCAACUCUGACUGUCAGAUGGCAAAUUUUUUUGCUCUUUCUGUCCACAUGUUUGAUAUGCGGACGCACUUUCUUUUCGCAAGUGGGGUCUGGCUGUCAGUGUGGGACCUAUAGUUUUGUCCGAGAGUUGCAAAUGCGGACGCACUAUCUCCAUAAUUUUGUGGGGCCUAGUCUUGUCCGCAUCUUCAAGGUGCGAAUAGCCCCAUUUUCGUAUACUGUUCUUUCUAAGCCCUAUUUCUAUGUUUUGUUUUUUUUUAUAACCCUAUUUUUGUGAAAAACUCCUAGAACUGGAGCCCUAAGAGAGCAGUGGGUUUUGGAGAAAUUUAUGUUUCUGCAGGGAUUAAAAGCCCAAACUGGAAUGAAAUUGAUGCAUCGCUCUAAGAUAUUGAGGUUUAAAUUCCAAAUUAUCAUGCUUCCCCCCCCUCCCUUUGGGGGUUGCAGUAGGAGUACUAUGCCUUUAUUUAUUCUCAGCAGUUGGUUUGUGUCGUAGAAUCCUCAACACAGAUUAUUUCUGUGUAUUCUAGAGUGUCAAAUGGAAGCAAAUGCUUCCAAUUGUUCCAUAUAUACUUUUAUUCUUCAUGAGAUCAUAAAUGGAAGAGAAUAAUGAUUGUGUUAAUUUCUGUGAGUACCUUGGUGUUAAUGUUAACUGCUGAUUAUGAUCAUAGAGGCAAUUGCUUCCAAUAGUUGAAUAGUACAUAUUUCCUUUUUCUAUUUACUAAUACAGUGUAUGGUUGAAUAUAUAUAGUUGUGCCCAUCUCUGAGUACCUUUCUAGUUUUUUUAUGUUCAUACAUGCUGCUGAUUACAGCACACUAUUUAUUUUGUAAUACAAUAUUUACUUUGUGGGUAUAAAUCUUAUUGUAGAUAUCAGAUGGAUUUGGUGACUUAAGGGUGGUUGAUACUUGAUUGUCUAGUGAUUCUCCUGCUUUUGAAGACAAUGGUGUUAUGUACCAUAUGUUAGUGUCUUUUACUGCCCAAAUCUUGCAUAUAAGUUAUUUCAACACGUAAUGAACUUCCAUCUGGUGGGCUGUCCAGGAAGGUGGUGGGCUGUUAAUGCCAACUGCAUUCUUGUUUUUAUAAUUUUAUUGUGAACCAUUGAAGCUUUUGGAAUUGUAAGUGUCAGCUUUAUAGAUCAUGUAGUGUAUUGUUGAUGGUAGUUCCUUAUUACUAGAUUUUUGAAAACGAUAAAGAGCAGAGGCCACAUUUUCUGUAUCCGUGAAGAAGGAUGUUACCUUUUAUGGGAUGUUGUCUCUUGGUGAACCAUUUUCUUUCAAUGAAUCAUUGAAUAUUAGGCAUUGAUUUUUUCAUUUAAAUUGUAGAGGAUUACCAGAAGAUAUGCUACAUUUUUUCAGAGGGCAAGUCUUGACACAAUUGUGAGGGUGUUACACUCAAAAUCAAAGAUCAAGGGUUCAAGUCACGGAAAGAGCCUCUCCAAUAUGGAGAUGAGCUGAAAUGGAAACUUGAUUUCCUAGGUCAAUCAUAUGCUUUUGGCAGAUAUGACAGGAGCUGGAACUUGGAGGAGUGGCGUAUGAAUCCAAGUAAUACUGAGUGAGGAUCUACUGACCUCUCUUCCUCAUAACUCAGUUGCCUGGGACUUGGUAAAGCAAAGGGUUUCCCAAAUUUUCACAGAAAAUGUACCGAACAGCUAUUUUUCAACCGAUUUUUGUUAAGGAAAAUUGGAACGGAAAUGAGAAUUCGAAAGGUCUCAUCUAUGCAAAGCUAAGGAAAGAUGGGAGCCGCCAGCCCUCGCCACUGUUCUCAAGUAUAUGGCUGUCUUCGAAUUGCUGAGGUUGUUUAUUAUACAGUGGGGAUGGUUCCACCAGACCAUGGUAGGCAGAGACGAGGCAAUAUGGCCCAUACGAGAAUUUAUGUGCCCAUCUUCCUCUUGUGACAAUUCUUGUGGGAGCAACCGAAACAAACCUCUCCACAGAGGUUUUGACAAUACUAGUUCAGUAGCUUACCUUGAGAUCAACUUCUCUUUGGCCGCCUUCGGCAAGUCUCAUCACCAGUCUUUUGAUAUGCUGCGUGCUGGCAUAGUCGGAUCAACAUUUUUAGAGUUGUCAAUGGCUGGCUCAGGAUCAUGCCGUAGACGACUGCCAUGACAGUUUGAGCUUAGAUAUCUGCUCAAAGAAUAAAGCUUGACCUUUUUCAAGCUUCUCCUUUCAGGAUCUAUUGAAAGAGAAUCCAGUAUUUCUUGAUCCUAUAUAUCUGAAUAUCUUUGCUUCAGAAGAAAAUUAGACUUCAGGUGAGUUUCACCCAAAGCUUGAAAGUCACCCCAACGCUUUCAUACGAAUUUCUAGCUAAAUUUUUUUGGUGCAAAUGAAUUUACAUAGAAAUUCUUUGGCCGGAAUUAUACUUUUUUGGGACUUGAUAUUUUUCCUUGUUUAGGAAAUAAUUCUUCAUACUGCAAAAAAUGGUACAUGGGCAAAGUUGGGAGAGGUUGGGUUUUUUCCCCUAAUCUAUAAAGAUGGUCUCAUUUGCUCAAA
Malania oleifera is the source of this 2562-nucleotide long non-coding RNA. RefSeq lists it as uncharacterized. The transcript is spliced from 4 exons. The record is from RefSeq and is a predicted model, not a curated record. Lineage: Eukaryota; Viridiplantae; Streptophyta; Magnoliopsida; Santalales; Ximeniaceae.